This 332-nucleotide ribosomal RNA is filed under the name uncultured Planctomycetota bacterium. Its description in RNAcentral is "bacterial SSU rRNA". It matches the Rfam family "Bacterial small subunit ribosomal RNA", at positions 568 to 898 of the family's 1533-position model. Lineage: Bacteria; Pseudomonadati; Planctomycetota. The record is from RNAcentral.
UGCGUAGGCUGUGCAGUAAGUUGGGUGUGAAAUCCCUCGGCUCAACCGAGGAACUGCGCCGAAUACUGCUGUGCUAGAGGAAGAUAGGGGUAAGCGGAACUGAUGGUGGAGCGGUGAAAUGCGUUGAUAUCAUCAGGAACACCGGUGGCGAAGGCGGCUUACUGGAUCUUUUCUGACGCUGAUGCACGAAAGCUAGGGGAGCGAACGGGAUUAGAUACCCCGGUAGUCCUAGCUGUAAACGAUGAGCACUUGGUCGGAGGCUCCUCCAUAGGCUUCUGGCCGUAGCGAAAGUGUUAAGUGCUCCGCCUGGGGAGUAUGGUCGCAAGGCUGAA